GACUCUGUGGACCAAUGGAUAAGGUGCUGGUCUAUUCAACCAUAGAUUUUGGGUUCGAUCCCCAGCAGAGUCG
Molecule: non-coding RNA, 73 nt
Organism: Rhododendron molle
Lineage: Eukaryota; Viridiplantae; Streptophyta; Magnoliopsida; Ericales; Ericaceae
Source: the annotation of a GenBank genome assembly